CCAAAGUCUUGAGUACAGAAUAUAGAAUUCACUAUAUUCUGUUAAUUAAACUUUGGAAAAUUGAACCAAUUACAGCUGCACUGAUUAUUCACUAUCUAAUUCAUUUGUGAAUAAGAGAUAGCAGUAAGAUGAAC
Diachasmimorpha longicaudata is the source of this 134-nucleotide small nucleolar RNA. The record is from RefSeq and is a predicted model, not a curated record. Lineage: Eukaryota; Metazoa; Arthropoda; Insecta; Hymenoptera; Braconidae.